Small nucleolar RNA from Erigeron canadensis, 88 nucleotides. RefSeq annotates it as small nucleolar RNA R44/J54/Z268 family. The record is from RefSeq and is a predicted model, not a curated record. The transcript has a single exon. NCBI's taxonomy places the organism in Eukaryota, Viridiplantae, Streptophyta, Magnoliopsida, Asterales, Asteraceae.
AAUGCAAAUGAAGAUAUCUAGACAGGGACUCUGCACUCCAUUAACUUGGAGUUUGAUGAUUUGUCUUUGGGAACUUAUCUGAUGCUUU